AUGACUUGUUGGAUGAGAUUGCUUUUAAGCUUUUCGAUUGAAGACGGAAGCUGGAUCUCACACCUUUGGAGAUCAGGUAAGGAGCUUUUCUCUUCUCUUAAUCCAUUUAUUAAAAAGAGGACGAAAACAAAAUUAGAAGAAAUCGUUGUGAGGCUUGAACAUCUGGUAAAACAGAAGGAUGCUCUUGGUUUGAGAGAGGGCAUUGGCGAAAACCCAUUUUCACAAAAAAUACCAACAACUUGUCUGGUAGAUGAAUCUGGUGUUUUUGGUAGGGAUGAUGAUAAGAAAGCCAUAAUGAAAUUUUUGUUAUCAAAUGAUGAAAAUAGCUGUAGAUUAGGUGUGAUUCCUAUAUUGGGUAUGGGUGGGGUUGGCAAAACCACCCUUGCUCAGCUUGUUUACAAUGACAGGGCUGUGGAGCAGUGGUUUGAUUUGAAAGCAUGGGUUUGUGUUUCAGAAGAAUUUCAUGUCUCCAAGGUAACAAAAGAUAUUCUUGAGGAGGUGGGUCGGCAUACUUGUAAUGACAAGACUCUAAAUCAGCUUCAACUUGAGCUAAAGGAGGCAUUGAAUGGGAAGAAAUUUUUGCUGGUUUUGGAUGAUGUUUGGAAUGAU
This 609-nucleotide unclassified non-coding RNA is filed under the name Hevea brasiliensis (rubber tree). Lineage: Eukaryota; Viridiplantae; Streptophyta; Magnoliopsida; Malpighiales; Euphorbiaceae. The record is from RNAcentral.